GGAUAGAUCAUAGAUGCUGGAAUGCGCUUUGAUCCAAAGCUAUUGUGCCUAAGGAUGGGUCUGCGGUCUAUCAGGUUGUAGUGGGUGUAAUGUACCUACUAGCCUACGACGGAUACGGGUUGUGGGAGCAAGAGCCCGGAGAUGGAUUCUGAGACAUGAAUCCAGGCCCUACGGGGCGCAGCAGGCGCGAAAACUUUACAAUGCGGGAAACCGCGAUAAGGGGACACCGAGUGCCAGCAUCCUAUGUUGGCUGUCCAUAUGUCUAAAUCACAUGUGUUAGCAAGGGCCGGGCAAGACCGGUGCCAGCCGCCGCGGUAACACCGGCGGCCCGAGUGGUGGCCACUAUUAUUGGGUCUAAAGGGUCCGUAGCCGGUUUGGUCAGUCUUCCGGGAAAUCUGACGGCUCAACCGUUAGGCUUUCGGGGGAUACUACCAGGCUUGGGACCGGGAGAGGUAAGAGGUACUACGGGGGUAGGAGUGAAAUCUUGUAAUCCCUGUGGGACCACCAGUGGCGAAGGCGUCUUACCAGAACGGGUCCGACGGUGAGGGACGAAAGCUGGGGGCACGGACCGGAUUAGAUACCCGGGUAGUCCCAGCUGUAAACUAUGCUCGCUAGGUGUCAGGGACGGUGCGACCGUUUCUGGUGCCGCAGGGAAGCCGUGAAGCGAGCCACCUGGGAAGUACGGUCGCAAGGCUGAAACUUAAGGAAUUGGCGGGGGAGCACAA
RNAcentral lists this ribosomal RNA (725 nucleotides) under uncultured archaeon. RNAcentral's name for it is "bacterial SSU rRNA". It matches the Rfam family "Archaeal small subunit ribosomal RNA", at positions 154 to 881 of the family's 1478-position model. The record is from RNAcentral.